GUGGGGAAUAUUGGACAAUGGGCGAAAGCCUGAUCCAGCCAUGCCGCGUGUGUGAAGAAGGUCUUCGGAUUGUAAAGCACUUUAAGUUGGGAGGAAGGGCAGUAAGUUAAUACCUUGCUGUUUUGACGUUACCGACAGAAUAAGCACCGGCUAACUUCGUGCCAGCAGCCGCGGUAAUACGAAGGGUGCAAGCGUUAAUCGGAAUUACUGGGCGUAAAGCGCGCGUAGGUGGUUUUGUAAGUUGGAGGUGAAAUCCCCGGGCUCAACCUGGGAACUGCCUCCAAAACUGCAUGACUAGAGUACGGUAGAGGGUAGUGGAAUUUCCUGUGUAGCGGUGAAAUGCGUAGAUAUAGGAAGGAACACCAGUGGCGAAGGCGACUACCUGGACUGAUACUGACACUGAGGUGCGAACGCGUGGGGAGCAAACAGGAUUAGAUACCCUUGUAGUCC
This 450-nucleotide ribosomal RNA is filed under the name uncultured bacterium. RNAcentral's name for it is "partial 16S ribosomal RNA". It matches the Rfam family "Bacterial small subunit ribosomal RNA", at positions 354 to 796 of the family's 1533-position model. The record is from RNAcentral.